UUUGUAUACACCGCCCAUCACUCCUACCAGUUUAACGGUCUAGUGAUAUGCUCGAAUCACUAUGAUGUUAUGUGGUUUGCUUCUCAUGAUGCUGUGAGAAGUCCAUUAAACCUUAUCACUUAUAGGAAGGAGGUCAUAAUAAGGUUUCUGUAGGUUAACAUGUGGAAGGUCAUUA
Molecule: ribosomal RNA, 175 nt
Filed under: Rhizanthella gardneri
Lineage: Eukaryota; Viridiplantae; Streptophyta; Magnoliopsida; Asparagales; Orchidaceae
Description: partial 18S ribosomal RNA
Rfam family: Eukaryotic small subunit ribosomal RNA
Source: RNAcentral